CGAGGUCCAUGGAGCUUGCUCCGGAAGACCUAGUGGCGAACGGGUGCGUAACACGUGAGAAACCUGCCCCGGACUUGGGAAUAACAGUCGGAAACGACUGCUAAUACCGAAUACCUUCACACCGUCGCAUGGCGGAGUGAAGAAAGCUUUUGCGGUUUGGGAGGGUCUCGCGGCCUAUCAGCUAGUUGGUGAGGUAACGGCUCACCAAGGCAUCGACGGGUAGCUGGUCUGAGAGGAUGAUCAGCCACACUGGGACUGAGACACGGCCCAGACUCCUACGGGAGGCAGCAGUGGGGAAUAUUGCACAAUGGGCGCAAGCCUGAUGCAGCAACGCCGCGUGCGGGAAGAAGGCCCUAGGGUUGUAAACCGCUUUCAGCAGGGAAGAAAAUGACGGUACCUGCAGAAGAAGGUGCGGCCAACUACGUGCCAGCAGCCGCGGUGACACGUAGGCACCAAGCGUUGUCCGGAUUUAUUGGGCGUAAAGAGCUCGUAGGCGGUUUUGUAAGUCGGGUGUGAAAACUCUGGGCUCAACCCAGAGAGGCCACCCGAUACUGCAAUGACUUGAGUACGGUAGGGGAGCGGGGAAUUCCUGGUGUAGCGGUGAAAUGCGCAGAUAUCAGGAGGAACACCAGUGGCGAAGGCGCCGCUCUGGGCCGUAACUGACGCUGAGGAGCGAAAGCAUGGGUAGCAAACAGGAUUAGAUACCCUGGUAGUCCAUGCCGUAAGCGUUGGGCACUAGGUGUGGGUCUCAACCAACGAGAUCCGCGCCGUCGCUAACGCAUUAAGUGCCCCGCCUGGGGGAGUACGGUCGCAAGACUAAAACUCAAAGGAAUUGACGGGGGGCCCGCACAAGCAGCGGAGCGUGUUGCUUAAUUCGAUGCAACGCGAAGAACCUUACCUGGGUUUGACAUGUAGGGAAAAGCUCUAGAGAUAGGGUGUCCUUUCGGGGCCUCUACACAGGUGGUGCAUGGGCUGUC
This 977-nucleotide ribosomal RNA is filed under the name uncultured bacterium. Its description in RNAcentral is "bacterial SSU rRNA". It matches the Rfam family "Bacterial small subunit ribosomal RNA", at positions 63 to 1053 of the family's 1533-position model. The record is from RNAcentral.